AUUUAAAUAAUUGGAACGAAGCCCAAGUAUAACAAUUAAAUCCAAGUAAGGAAGAUCUCAAAUGAGUUCUAAUUGAAUACACGGUAAAACAUCACUCGGGAUGGACCAAGUCACAAUCCCCAAUAGUAAACGACCCCGCACUCGUCAUAGAGUGCGUGUAUCACCACAAUAUUGCGUUACGAUGUAAAAUUCCGGAGUUUCAAACCCUUAAGAUAUCAUUUACAAUCAUUACUGACCUUGAACCGGCGAAAUCUCUAGCUCACGGAGCCUUUGCCCUGUAAAUCGACCUCCACGCGCAUCGAAUCUAUCCAUACUAGAACGAAUAUGUUACAAUAGACUAAGGAACAUAACCCAAUCGAAAAGAAUUGAAAAUAGCAAAAAUACCGAAAUUGGCAAAACCCGAGCCCCGGGCCCACUUCUCAUAUUUUAGAAAAUUUUAUAUGAACAAAUUCCUUACCUCGCCACGAGUCUAUACAUAUAAAGAUUACCAAAAUCGGAGUCAAAAUGACCCCUCAAAUCCCAAAAUUUGCUCUCUUAAGCUCAAGCCCUAAACCACCAUUUUUGUCCAUCAUUUUCUUAAAUUUUCAGUCUAAAUCUAUGUAAAAACACUAUAAAAUCAUGUUUUGAGUUCAAGAAUCCAUACCUUAUUGAAACCCCUUGAAAUCCCUCUUCAAAAUCGCCCGCACUCCUCCAAGUCUGAGUUAAAAAUAUGAAACCCUUCAAACAUUCGCGAAGAUGGAAUUAAAUAGCUCUGCCCAGUCAUUACUGUAUCUGCAGUCAAAAUUUGCAUAUGCGACUCCCGCUUUUUUGGUCAACACACCGCUUCUGCGGAAAUUCACUAACACAACAAAAAAAAUAGCGUUUAGCGACGGCCUUAUUCCGUCGCUAAAUCAAUGGAUUCCGUCGCUUAACGUGUUUAGCAACGGAAUAGCGAUGGAUCCAAGUUGUUCCCUAAAAUCCUCGAUGCUAGGCUGAUAGCGACAAAAAAUACAAUCCGUCGCAGACGUAGCGACGACAUAUUUUUUGUAGCAACAUUUAGCGACAAAAAUAUCCGUCGCUAUAUAACCUAUUUCUGUCGCUAUUUUGAUGUCUUUCGUCAUUGUAAUACAUAAUAAAAUUCGUCGUUUGUUCCUUUAGCGAUGAAAUUGUCCGUUGCUAGCCAUGUUAUAACUACUUUUUGCAACAAAAACCUUUUGUCGCUAAUUCGUCGCAAGAUUUAAUUUUUACGCUAUAAUUUUAGCUACGGAACGUAUCCGUCGAUGAUUGUUUUUACUAUAUUGCUGAUUUUUAAAAAUUCUUUUUUUUUAUUUUAAAUAUAAUCUAUUCAAACAUAUUACAUAAACUAUUAAAUACACUUAAUAAAAAGUCAUUGAUAUUAAUAUAAAUUCAACAAGGUCCAAAAUAUAUAGCAUAACGCAUAUAACAGUAUCAUUAAGUACAAAAAAUCCACAAGGAUCAAUAAUAAUGUCCAAACAAAGUAAGCUAACUAUGCUAGGCUGGAGAGUCACAGUUAUACUCAGAACCCAAUGCAUGAACCACAUCAAUGUUAGCAGCAGUAGUAUAUAAGUUUGGGCAGCCUUGAUUUCUUCGAGGGACAAACUUCUAUUUUUUCCUUCUCCCCAUAGUCGGCCUGGAUGUGUGAAUAUUGAUAAAUUUCCUUCAAGAUCUUCCAUAACACUACCAUCAUCAUUACGGGUCAAAGUAUGAUUACGUGUCAUGACAUGAGGUUCAAAAUAAUGAAAAAAUAAUUGUGUUGAUUACAUCAUCAAGUAUGUUUCGCAAAUUAAACCCUCGACACUAGCUUUAUUCCCUAUCAUUUUUUUAAGAGUUCGAAGAUACCUAUACAAGUAUAUGGAUAGACCAUUAAAUUCAUAAGGUCAUGUGUAUCAUAUUUGUCAUAAUAAGAGCACAAAAAGUUCAUAACCUCUCAAAAGGAUGCAUCCAUCUAUAUAGUACAUGUCCAGCAAUCCUUGGUUCAUAUGGCAGGUGUACAGGCACAUGUUCCAUUGAGUUAAAGAAUCCAGGAGAAAAUAUACGCUCCAACUUACACAAGAUCUGUGGGACGUCUGCCUCUAAUCUCUCCAUGUCCACUACUCGAAGAACAACCGAGGUGAGAUCCUUAAAACAUAAGCUCAAUUCCGUAAGUGCUUGCCACACGUUACUAGGAAGUAGCUCACGAAAGGCAAUAGGCAUUAAUCGUUGCAUGGACACAUGGAAAUCAUGACUUUUUUAUACCAAAUAAUUUAUACUUUUCUGUGUCUAGGCACCGACUAAAAUUCGAAACACACCCAUCUGGAAACUUCACACUUUCCAACCAAUUGAACAAGGCAAUUGUUUGAUUCUUCUCUAUUGUAUAUGCAGCUUUGGGAUAGCUUCCAUCAAUAUAAUUCUUUGCCAAUUGCGGUCGAUCGUAAUAGUUUACCAUAUAUUCACGUGCCUUUGGACUGUCUUUUGUUUUGCCAUCAACAUUAAGAACUGUGUUAAAUACAAUAUCAAAGACGUUCUUCUCAAUAUGCAUGACAUCGAGAUUAUGGCGGAUCAUGUUAGAGCUCCAAUAAGGCAAAUCCCAAAAGAUGCUUCUCUUUUUCCAUCCACAACACCUAGAAAUUCUCCCAUUAACUUCUUCUGCAUCUAGCUCAGUUACUUUUAUCAGUCCAACUCACAAAUUUGGUUCAAGAUUUCCUCUCCUAUCCUAAGGGAUGGUGGUAGCCUUCUGACAGUCUGACAUUUAUGAAAGUUUUUACGAUCUCUCCUAAACGGAUGAUUUUGGUCAAGAAACAUUCUAUGACUGUCAAACCAAGUUGUUUUUCCACCAUGACAUAAUCUGAAGGAUUGUGCUUCCUCCAUACAAUAAGGACAUGCUAAGUUACAUAGAAUAUGAUGGAAAGUCAUUGAUUGUCCACAUCAAAGCGGUCCUUAAUUGAAACUUUUGUUGUUUUGAGAUGUCAAAUGCUUCUACACCCGUCUCUCACAACAAGGUCAAUUCUUUUAUUAAAGGUUGUAGAUAAACAUCAAUUUUUUGUUUAGGGUUGUUUGGCCCUGGAACAAUGACAGUUAAGAACAUGUACGCCUCUUUCAUACACAUCCAUGGAGGCAAAUUGUAUGGAGUGACAAUCACUGGCCGUGAUGAGUAUUUCCUCCCCGAAUGACCAAAGGACUGAAAACCAUUAGUACAUAAUCCCAACCUCACAUUUCUUUGUUCAACAACAAAAAAAGGAUGAGUUUCAUUGAAAUGCUUCCAAGCCUCAGAGUCUGAUGGAUGACACAUUACACCCUCCUCUUGUAUGUGCUCAUGAUGCCAUCUCAUAUCAGCGGUUGUAGCAUGAGAUGCAUAUAAUCUCCGCAAUCUAGGAAUCAAAGGAAAUUAAUACAUUUUUUUGUAAGGGAUUAAUUUCUUCUUACGAGAACCAACACGACAUUUGUACCUCUGGUGGCCACAAAACUUGCAAGAUGUGAGGUCCUCAUCUUCAUCCCAAUACAUCAUACAUCCAGAAUUACAACAAUCUAUCUUUUCAACUGGUAAACCCAAGCUACGCACUAGCUUCUUGGUCUCGUAAUAGUUAUCAAACAUUGUAUUAUCUUCUGGUAAAGCCUCUUUCAACAAUUGCAUCAUUUGUUUAUAACCUCUUUGUGAUAAAUUAUUCUCCAUUUUAAUAUUUAGCAUCCUGCAAGUUGAGAGAGGCAAGAACCAGGGUAAAGUUUUGCAUCAUCGGCCUGUAGCAAAUCAUAAAACACUUGGCACUCAGGAUUUGGCUCCUCCUCCAUUGAAGGAUUAGGCUCCGCCUCCAUUGAAGGUUCACAAGAGUAAGACGACUGAGGUUCAGUAUUAUUAUAAGACUGCCAGCUCAAACAAUGGCCAAAUUGGGUCCAGCUGCAUCCAAGACCAUUUAUCGAUAUGGAUUCUCAUAUCCCGAUUCAAGUUGAGUGCCACCAAGCAAAUAGCCACUAGAAGACAUCUCACCGGUCACAUCUUUUUCUCCUUGAUACUUCCAAAGAAAAUAGUUCUCAACAAAUCCAUACCGAUAAAGGUGAAAUUUAAUAGUUUCAACAUUCAUGCAUUUAAUGUUGUGACAUUUUUACAUGGACAUCUAACAUUGUCACUACUCAUGCGAUUGCUCUGAAAACAAGCAAACUGGCGAAACUUGCUCACACAAGUUAUAAAACUUGAAUUAAUACCCCCUCGACCAUCCAACCUUUUGUACAUCUAGUCACGCUCUAGAUUGUCUAUGUUCCUAUUUAUAUUAAAAUAAAAAAGACCCUAAAGUUCUUUAUUUAAUAAGAUAUCAGAAUGUUUUCUAAAAAUAUAACAAGUUGACAUUAGAAUAAGAUGAGAAUAGUAAUACCACAAUCUUGGGAUGAAAAGAAAUUUUGGAAUGUUCAGUUCCUUUCUUUGACCAAAAUAAAAACCUCAAAUAGACAAAUGAAAUGAUAUAUAUAUUGAGGAUUACAUAAGUCGAAACUGAUACCAAUUAGAAUGCCCCAAAAUGUAAUUUAUAAAUUAUUCAAUUAAACCAAUGUAAUAGAAAAAAGCACAAUCAACAUAAUAAGGACAUGAGAACUCACCAGACCCUGAAAUGCCAUUUGAAUCAAGCACGAAGACUAAUAAAAACUAAAUCUUUCCGAGAACUUUUACCACACAAAUUCUUGUCGACCUGCACAGAAAAUUUUCAAAUAAUGGGAAAUAAAUUAGAUAUAGCAAAUGAAGCUGGAAAAUCUAAUAAUCAGAGUACCAUUUGAAGACAAAAGAUGCUCAAAGCCAUGAGAGUGACCCUUGAAUCUGUCAUUGCCAACUUGAGAAUUCAUCUAAUACUUCCACUAAAUUGUAUUGAAAACUCCAUUUUUAGUUUGACUUGCACAAAUUUCCGUAGACUUUAUAGUAAGUAGUACAGAUAUAACGUCACAAGAAAAUGGCCUCUGCAAUUCCAAGUUGCUUACUUUGCUGGCUCUAAAUUGUUUUUUUCUUAAGUAGGGACUAAAUCAGUUGACUAUCAUUAUAGGUUUAACAAUACAAAUUAAGAUUCUUACACCUUCGUUCUUAUAUGAAAUCAAGAGAUCUAUUAAUAAUCAGUUCAGUCACAUAUAUGGCUUCAAACGUUCCACCUUUUCUAUUUUCAUCAAAAUAUUAUAGUGUUUCUGGAGAUGGGGAAAGAAGAGAUGCACCUUAGAUAUAUUUUUCCAAAUGAAAUCUGCAAACGUUUAACAAAAACUCGACGGAAUUGCAACAAAAUUCAACAGAGGACCUCGAAUCGGCACCUAGGAUUUGCAAAUGGGAACCCCGAACUCGAACUCGACGGCAAAUUUGGACGCCGUGAGUCCCUCAAAUCAAACAGCUACUCUCUGACUCUAUUUUUAGACCAGAACUUAGAGGAAUACUUCAAAUCCUUGCUGAAUGAAUUGUUUUUGUUCAAAUCAAAACAAACGAAACCUUACAUCUGGUUUAGCUUUUUCAGCUCAUUGUAACGGUAGUCCCCCUCCAGAUGUUGCGGCUCCAUUUGAGAGGAGAGGGAUUUGAAAGGUUUUUUUUUGAUUUUUUAAGAAGAAGAAGAAAGCAAUGGCUUUUGAUUCCCCCAAAUCGGAUGUAAGGGCCGAAAAAACUCUGUUGAAGAUACGUGCAGAGUAGUUGAAGCGGAGUUUGAUAGAGAGGGCCGGUUGGAUUUUGCCCUAGAGUUGGGUGUAGGUCUUUUAACCAAGUUAACUCUUUCAAACGGAAUUGUAGCGACGGAUACAGCGACGGAAAUCGCGACGGAUUAAUUAUUGAAUUUUAAUUUAAUGGAUCUAGUAUUUUAGCGACGGACUUUUAAACUUUAAUGUCUUGAUAAAUAAAACGAACACAGCGACGGUAUUAUGGAUGCUAAAUCCGUCGCUAUAUUUUAAUACUUUUUGUCGCUGCACUUUCGUAGCUAAUUUUGUAGGUAAAAUUACGACGCUAAUGUUUAGCGCCAAUAUUGCGACGAAUAUUGGUUUUUGUCGCUAUUC
This 5976-nucleotide long non-coding RNA is filed under the name Nicotiana benthamiana. RNAcentral's name for it is "long non-coding RNA (NBEN_LNC006825)". The record is from RNAcentral. Lineage: Eukaryota; Viridiplantae; Streptophyta; Magnoliopsida; Solanales; Solanaceae.